Molecule: RNase P RNA, 337 nt
Filed under: Roseivirga ehrenbergii
Lineage: Bacteria; Pseudomonadati; Bacteroidota; Cytophagia; Cytophagales; Roseivirgaceae
Description: Bacterial RNase P class A
Rfam family: Bacterial RNase P class A
About the family: Ribonuclease P (RNase P) is a ubiquitous endoribonuclease, found in archaea, bacteria and eukarya as well as chloroplasts and mitochondria. Its best characterised activity is the generation of mature 5'-ends of tRNAs by cleaving the 5'-leader elements of precursor-tRNAs.
Source: Rfam by way of RNAcentral
GAUACAAGCCACCUUAUCGCUGCGACUAGAGUAAUCGAAAUCGGAGAGGAAAGUCCGGGCACCAUAGGGAAGCAUAGCGGCUAACGGCCGUCACUUCAAAUUCGAUUCUUCGGGUUUGGAGUAGGACAAGUGCAACAGAAAGUAUGUACAGGUAAUGCUGUAGUGAAACCAGGUAAACUCUAUGCGGUGAAAUGUCACAUAUACCUGCUUUUGAGGGUUCCCGCCCAAUGCAGGAGGGUAGGCAGAUGGACCCCGCCAGUAAUGACGGGGCUAGAUAAAUGAUAAGGGCCUUGACCUAGUUAAGGAACAGAACCCGGCUUAUCGGCUUGUAUCUUUU